Molecule: ribosomal RNA, 228 nt
Filed under: uncultured bacterium
Lineage: Bacteria
Description: partial 16S ribosomal RNA
Rfam family: Bacterial small subunit ribosomal RNA
Source: RNAcentral
UACGUAGGCGGAAAUCUAUGUCAGUGGUGAAAUCCCGCAGCUCAACUGUGGAACUGUCAUUGAUACUGAUAUUCUUGAAUGUAGUCGAGGUAGGCGGAAUGUGUAAUGUAGCGGUGAAAUGCUUAGAUAUUACACAGAACACCGAUUGCGAAGGCAGCUUACUAAACUAUGAUUGACGCUGAGGCACGAAAGCGUGGGGAGCGAACAGGAUUAGAUACCCUGGUAGUC